GACGAACGCUGGCGGCGUGCUUAACACAUGCAAGUCGAACGGAAAGGCCCUGCUUGCAGGGUACUCGAGUGGCGAACGGGUGAGUAACACGUGGGUGAUCUGCCCUGCACUUCGGGAUAAGCCUGGGAAACUGGGUCUAAUACCGGAUAGGAGCCAUUUUUAGUGUGAUGGUUGGAAAGUUUUUUCGGUGUAGGAUGAGCUCGCGGCCUAUCAGCUUGUUGGUGGGGUAAUGGCCUACCAAGGCGGCGACGGGUAGCCGGCCUGAGAGGGUGGACGGCCACAUUGGGACUGAGAUACGGCCCAGACUCCUACGGGAGGCAGCAGUGGGGAAUAUUGCACAAUGGGCGCAAGCCUGAUGCAGCGACGCCGCGUGGGGGAUGACGGCCUUCGGGUUGUAAACUCCUUUCGCUAGGGACGAAGCUUUUUGUGACGGUACCUAGAUAAGAAGCACCGGCUAACUACGUGCCAGCAGCCGCGGUAAUACGUAGGGUGCGAGCGUUGUCCGGAAUUACUGGGCGUAAAGGGCUCGUAGGUGGUUUGUCGCGUCGUCUGUGAAAUUCCGGGGCUUAACUCCGGGCGUGCAGGCAAUACGGGCAUAACUUGAGUACUGUAGGGGUAACUGGAAUUCCUGGUGUAGCGGUAAAAUGCGCAGAUUUCAGGAGGAACACCGAUGGCGCAGGCAGGUUACUGGGCAGUUACUGACGCUGAGGAGCGAAAGCAUGGGUAGCGAACAGGAUUCCCUACCCUGGUAGUCCAUGCCGUAAACG
RNAcentral lists this ribosomal RNA (767 nucleotides) under uncultured organism. Its description in RNAcentral is "SSU rRNA". It matches the Rfam family "Bacterial small subunit ribosomal RNA", at positions 28 to 808 of the family's 1533-position model. The record is from RNAcentral.